UGCCAGCCGCCGCGGUAAUACGAAGGGUGCAAGCGUUAUCCGGAAUCACUGGGUUUAAAGGGUGCGUAGGCGGUUAGAUAAGUCAGAGGUGAAAGGUUGUCGCUUAACGAUAAAAUUGCCUUUGAUACUGUUUAACUAGAAUUAGGUUGAGGUAGGCGGAAUUCAUGGUGGAGCGGUGACAUGCGUAGAUAUCAUGAGGAAAGUCAAAUGCGAAGGCAGCCUUCUGGCUCAAAACUGACGCUGAGGUACGAAAGCGUGGGGAGCGAACAGGAUUAGAUA
Molecule: ribosomal RNA, 279 nt
Filed under: uncultured bacterium
Lineage: Bacteria
Description: partial 16S ribosomal RNA
Rfam family: Bacterial small subunit ribosomal RNA
Source: RNAcentral